RNAcentral lists this ribosomal RNA (660 nucleotides) under uncultured bacterium. Its description in RNAcentral is "bacterial SSU rRNA". It matches the Rfam family "Bacterial small subunit ribosomal RNA", at positions 8 to 694 of the family's 1533-position model. The record is from RNAcentral.
AGAGUUUGAUCCUGGCUCAGGACGAACGCUGGCGGUGUGCUUCACACAUGCAAGUCGAACGGAGUAGCAAUACUCAGUGGCGGACGGGUGAGUAACACGUGGGAAUCUACCAUUAGGUGGGGAAUAACAGGCCGAAAGGACUGCUAAUGCCGCAUAUGUAGGCAUCUCGACAGAGAUGUUUAUGAAAGGAGUAAUCCGCCUUUUGAUGAGCCCGCGUCCGAUUAGCUAGUUGGUAGGGUAAAAGCCUACCAAGGCGACGAUCGGUAGGUGGUCUGAGAGGAUGAUCACCCACAAUGGGACUGAGACACGGCCCAUACUCCUACGGGAGGCAGCAGUGGGGAAUUUUACGCAAUGGGGGAAACCCUGACGUAGCGACACCGCGUGAGCGAAGAAGCCCUUUGGGGUGUAAAGUUCUGUCAACAGGAACGAAACAAAUGACGGUACCUGUGGAGGAAGCAUCGGCUAACUACGUGCCAGCAGCCGCGGUAAGACGUAGGAUGCAAGCGUUGUCCGGAUUUAUUGGGCGUAAAGAGUUCGUAGGCGGUUUGUUAAGUCUGAUGUUAAAGACCGGGGCUCAACCUCGGAAAUGCAUUGGAUACUGGCAGACUGGAGUGCAGUAGAGGCUAGUGGAAUUCCCAGUGUAGCGGUGAAAUGCGUAGA